UACGUAGGGUCCGAGCGUUGUCCGGAUUUAUUGGGCGUAAAGAGCUCGUAGGCGGCUUGCUAAGUCAGGUGUGAAACCUCCAGGCUCAACCUGGAGCCGCCACCUGAUACUGGUAUGGCUAGAGUCCGGUAGGGGACCACGGAAUUCCUGGUGUAGCGGUGAAAUGCGCAGAUAUCAGGAGGAACACCGGUGGCGAAGGCGGAUCUCUGGGCCGAUACUGACGCUGAGGAGCGAAAGCGUGGGGAGCGAACAGG
This 254-nucleotide ribosomal RNA is filed under the name uncultured bacterium. RNAcentral describes it as "partial 16S ribosomal RNA". It matches the Rfam family "Bacterial small subunit ribosomal RNA", at positions 524 to 776 of the family's 1533-position model. The record is from RNAcentral.